RNAcentral lists this ribosomal RNA (653 nucleotides) under uncultured bacterium. Its description in RNAcentral is "bacterial SSU rRNA". It matches the Rfam family "Bacterial small subunit ribosomal RNA", at positions 660 to 1313 of the family's 1533-position model. The record is from RNAcentral.
UGCGGAAUGCGUGGUGUAGCCGGUGAAAUGCUUAGAUAUCACGCAGAACCCCCAAUUGCGAAGGCAGCAUACUGGACCGGGAACUGACGCUGAAGCACGAAAGCGUGGGGAUCAAACAGGAUUAGAUACCCUGGUAGUCCACGCCGUAAACUAUGAAUGCUAGCUAUUGGCGAUAUACAGUCAGUGGCACAAGAGAAAUCGUUAAGCAUUCCACCUGGGGAGUACGCCGGCAACGGUGAAACUCAAAGGAAUUGACGGGGGCCCGCACAAGCGGAGGAACAUGUGGUUUAAUUCGAUGAUACGCGAGGAACCUUACCCGGGUUUGAACGCAGGGGGAAUACAGUGGAAACAUUGUAGCCAGCAAUGGCCGCCUGCGAGGUGCUGCAUGGUUGUCGUCAGCUCGUGCCGUGAGGUGUCGGCUUAAGUGCCAUAACGAGCGCAACCCCUAUCGAUAGUUACUAACAGGUUAAGCUGAGGACUCUAUUGAGACUGCCAGCGUAAGCUGCGAGGAAGGUGGGGAUGACGUCAAAUCAGCACGGCCCUUACAUCCGGGGCGACACACGUGUUACAAUGGUGGGUACAGAGGGCAGCUACCUGGCGACAGGAUGCGAAUCUCCAAAACCCAUCUCAGUUCGGAUCGCAGUCUGCAACUC